This 1507-nucleotide ribosomal RNA is filed under the name uncultured prokaryote. RNAcentral's name for it is "partial 16S ribosomal RNA". It matches the Rfam family "Bacterial small subunit ribosomal RNA". The record is from RNAcentral.
AGAGUUUGAUCAUGGCUCAGAUUGAACGCUGGCGGUAUGCUUAACACAUGCAAGUCGAACGGUAACAUAGCUAGCUUGCUAGCUGAUGACGAGUGGCGGACGGGUGAGUAACGCGUAGGAAUUUACCUUUCGGUGGGGGAUAGCCCGGGGAAACCCUGGCUAAUACCGCAUACACUCUACGGAGAAAAGGAGGCCUCUUCUUGAAAGCUUUCGCUAUUGGAUGAGCCUGCGUGAGAUUAGCUAGUUGGUAGGGUAAAGGCCUACCAAGGCGACGAUCUCUAGCUGGUCUGAGAGGACGAUCAGCCACACUGGGACUGAGACACGGCCCAGACUCCUACGGGAGGCAGCAGUGGGGAAUAUUGGACAAUGGGCGCAAGCCUGAUCCAGCAAUACCGCGUGUGUGAAGAAGGCCCUAGGGUUGUAAAGCACUUUCAGCAGUGAAGAAAUGCUUAAGGUUAAUAACCUUGAGUCUUGACGUUAACUGCACAAGAAGCACCGGCUAACUCCGUGCCAGCAGCCGCGGUAAUACGGAGGGUCCAAGCGUUAUCCGGAAUCACUGGGCGUAAAGAGCGUGUAGGCGGGUUAAUAAGUUGGAAGUGAAAUCCUAUGGCUCAACCAUAGAACUGCUUUCAAAACUGUUGACCUAUAAUAUGGGAGAGGUAGAUGGAAUUUCUGGUGUAGGGGUAAAAUCCGUAGAGAUCAGAAGGAAUACCGAUUGCGAAGGCGAUCUACUGGAACAUUAUUGACGCUGAGACGCGAAAGCGUGGGGAGCAAACACGAUUAGAUACCCUGGUAGUCCAGGCCCUAAACGAUGCACGCUAGUUGUUGCUAUGCUCGACAUAGCAGUAAUGCAGUUAACACAUUAAGUGUGCCGCCUGGGGAGUACGGUCGCAAGAUUAAAACUCAAAGGAAUUGACGGGGGCCCGCACAAGCGGUGGAGCAUGUGGUUUAAUUCGAUGCAACGCGAAGAACCUUACCUACCCUUGACAUACAGAGAACCUUCCAGAGAUGGAUUGGUGCCUUCGGGAACUCUGAUACAGGUGCUGCAUGGCUGUCGUCAGCUCGUGUCGUGAGAUGUUGGGUUAAGUCCCGUAACGAGCGCAACCCUUAUCCUUAGUUACCACCAUUUAGUGGCUGAGGACUCUAGACAGACUGCCUGGGUAACCAGGAGGAAGGUGAGGACGACGUCAAGUCAUCAUGGCCCUUACGUCCAGGGCUACACACGUGCUACAAUGGGGUAUACAAAGAGCCGCGAUACCGUGAGGUGGAGCAAAUCUCAUAAAAUAUCUCCCAGUUCGGAUAGUAGUAUGCAACUCGACUACUUGAAGUUGGAAUCGCUAGUAAUCGUAGAUCAGCAAUGCUACGGUGAAUACGUUCCCGGGUCUUGUACUCACCGCCCGUCACACCAUGGGAGUUGAUUUCAUUCGAAGUAGCUAGUCUAACUGUUUACAGGGGACGGUUACCACGGUGUGAUUCAUGACUGGGGUAAAGUCGUAACAAGGUAACC